CAUUGUCACGAGCUUUGAUCAGGCUAAGAAGAAAAGCUACCUGGGACUGCAAGAAUGUUACAGACAUCAGGUGAUGGAAAGAGCCUGGGAGGAUGUACUCCAAAAUUUUAAAGAUGAGGAAACUGAGGCUCAGCCGGGGAAGCCACUGGCCAGAGGCCAUACAGCUGGAUUUAACCCAGGAGUCAUAAGACGGAGGCAGAAGGAGGUUUGACCACAGAAGAGGAGAAGACAGAGAGAAUGACAGAAACAGACUGAGAGGAUGCACUUUGAAGAUGGAGGAGGGGCCCACAAGCUAAGGAAUGCAAGUGACCACUGGAAGUUGAAAAAGGCAAAGAAACAGCUUCUCCCUGGGAGCCUCCAGCAGGAACCAGCCCUGCCAACACCUUGCCUUUAGCCUAGAGACUGACUUCAGACUUCUGACCUCCAGAACUCCCUGAGAGCGCCCUCUGACUCAGCUUCCUCCAGCCACCCACCUCCCAUCACCACCAAGGACACCAUCCCUGUCCCCAUCCCUCCCUGAGAAGGCUCCACAGAAUUGCAUGACCCUGGCCCCCCUGGAAGAGCAUCUGCAUCUCCAAUCAGACCUACCUUCUCACACAGGGAGAAACUGAGACGCUACGAGGAAGAGAAUAUUUCCCCAGUCUCACCUCAAGGUUGGAAUAGAGCCAGGGCCUGCCCCCGGCUCUCCUGA
Molecule: long non-coding RNA, 691 nt
Organism: Physeter macrocephalus (sperm whale)
Lineage: Eukaryota; Metazoa; Chordata; Mammalia; Artiodactyla; Physeteridae
Exons: 4
Source: RefSeq, a predicted model, not a curated record